UGGAACUGGUGAGAAAAAAAUCAGGACAAAAUAGAUUUUUCAGAGUAGUUACAGUGAGAAACCCGAGUUCAGUUCCAAAGCACAAACGAGGCUAUGGCUACAGCUCAAUAUCAGCAGAAAGCUUCAGAAUCUCUAAUCGCUUCUUCUUUCUUCGUUGAUUUUAGCAAUUUUCAUCUAUAUCUUUAAUAAACUUCAGAAGAUCGUCAGAGAUCUCCAUCCCCAUCAAGUUCUUCACCGAGUAGAUCUUUCUUCUGGGCUUUUCUUCUGAGAUCGGAGUGACUUACGUUAUGCCUGUAAAUGUAAUUGGCGGUUUCAAAACCGUCAUUGGUCGACGGAUCUGAACUGCAGAGACUCGAGCUGGUUUAAGUCAACAGGCUUUGGACCCGACAGGCUUUCGAAUGGGUUUUGGGGCUCUUUUGACAGGACCCAAAUCUACUGCCCGUGCCCGAUGUCCUGCCUCAGUUUUGGGUCGGAAAGUCCAAACAAGCCAGCUCAGAGAUGCGUAGGUGAGUUAAGAAGCUGGCUUUGCUAUGACAAAAGACAUCACUAGUAAAGACAUUGGCAUGGACUGAUAGAGAAAAGACCCUUGAAAAAAGUAUUUGCAUCUGCAAAAGAUAGUGGCGUCUUCUCUGUCUCAGGGCAGAGUACCGUUUCAGCGUUUAUAUGAUUUGGGAAUCAAAACAAGCCGAGGCGUUUACGGGUUCAAUUAGACAAUGAAUCACCACGCGGCCUCUGUUAAAUCAAUUGGUUCAUCUUGAUUUUGUAGUUAUCCAAAAGCACAAAUUGAAGAAAUGAAAAGGCAUGAUCUUUCACAAGAAGAUUGAAAACUGUAGAAUUCAAGUAUGGUGAAAAACCCACUGAAAAAUAAAACGAUCAAUUCAAUAUAUUAUCAAAUCCAACUCGUCCAUGCUGAUACAAAGAGUUACAGAAGAUUAAAAAAGGAUCCUCACAGUUAUAGGUAUUUGUCAUUGUGUUGUUGUUGGAUUUUCAGGCACCACCAGAGGAGCAUAGAGAGGCCACGAACUUGACUAGGAGAUCAAAAAUCCUUCGCUUCACAAGUUUCCUCGGUGGGGGGAUCACACUUGCCGGCUUCGCCUUGAACAACUGCUGAAUCCGAGCCGCCAUUACGGAUCCGUUGGGCAGAACGGUCGCUCCAACCGGGUUCACCUUCUUCGCCAUCGACUGCCGCUUCCUUCUUUAAGUAGAGUGCUUCCAAACUAUGAUAUCUACUUCUCAAAAUGUGUUGUGCUUUUAAGCUUUUUUUUUUAAGAUAAAUAUAUAGCCGUGCGAAAAUAAAAGAAUUUUGAAUUUAUUUUAAUUGUUUUGGGAAAUUCCUCCGGUGAGAGGCCCUUGCGGGCCAAGUUUUUAAAUAUUUUCACACAUUGCCUUUAUCUGUAUGGGUGACGUAUGCUAAUAAAUAUGACGUAAUCAUCAUGUUCCACUCCCU
This is a long non-coding RNA of Mangifera indica (mango), 1447 nucleotides long. RefSeq lists it as uncharacterized. The transcript is spliced from 3 exons. The record is from RefSeq and is a predicted model, not a curated record. Lineage: Eukaryota; Viridiplantae; Streptophyta; Magnoliopsida; Sapindales; Anacardiaceae.